AGUGGUGUAAAGUGAAGAGCAGUGCUCACCAACAUCAGGAAGGCCUGAGCUUUAGCUCAGUCACCUAUUUGUGCACCAUUACACAAGGGCUGUGUUCUGACGUACUACCACAAAACACUCAGCACUGGAAGCAUGGCACUCCCAGAGAAAGCACAGCCUGAUGCACUCACUGGGAACUUUGUGAGUCUGGAGUCUCCAUCACCAAUUCCCUGCAGUGUUCCUCCUGGGACUACUAUGAUGCUUCAACCUGCACCUGUUUGGAGUUCAUUGGGGUCUGGAGUCUGUCUUCUGUUUAGCUGCAGUUGUUUGGAUAAUACCCUCUUCAGAACAACAGCGAAGCAGAGCUACUUUUGUAAGAGUGGAUGGUAGAAGAGUCCUCACUCAAACAUUUG
RNAcentral lists this long non-coding RNA (392 nucleotides) under Cricetulus griseus (Chinese hamster). RNAcentral's name for it is "lncRNA (ENSCGRG00015030559.1)". Lineage: Eukaryota; Metazoa; Chordata; Mammalia; Rodentia; Cricetidae. The record is from RNAcentral.